Long non-coding RNA from Manis pentadactyla (Chinese pangolin), 269 nucleotides. RefSeq lists it as uncharacterized. The record is from RefSeq and is a predicted model, not a curated record. The transcript has 2 exons. NCBI's taxonomy places the organism in Eukaryota, Metazoa, Chordata, Mammalia, Pholidota, Manidae.
UACUGAAAGAAGUUCAACUGUAGGUAAAAUGCUAUCAAAGAGCAUCACAUGCUACAGAGAAAUCACUCAUGAAAGGAAGAGUCCAUCGAUGCAGCAAACUUCAUUAUCUUUUUUUAGACAGAAAGAAAAAGAAAAAAGAAAUUGCUACAGCCACCCUAACCUCCAGCAACCACCACCCUCAUCAGUCAGCAACCAUCAACAUAUCUCACCAGCAAAAAGAUUACAGACAAUGUUUAGCAUUUUUUAGCAAUAAAAUAUUUUUAAGUUGA